RNAcentral lists this ribosomal RNA (64 nucleotides) under Anopheles lesteri. RNAcentral describes it as "partial 5.8S ribosomal RNA". Lineage: Eukaryota; Metazoa; Arthropoda; Insecta; Diptera; Culicidae. The record is from RNAcentral.
CAUUGAUAAGUUGAACGCAUAUUGCACGCCGUGGGAACCUACCAUGACGUACCCAUACUUGAGC